CCUACGGGUGGCUGCAGUGGGGAAUAUUGGACAAUGGGCGAAAGCCUGAUCCAGCCAUGCCGCGUGUGUGAAGAAGGCCUUCGGGUUGUAAAGCACUUUCAGUGGGGAAGAAAGCCUUGGGGCUAAUACCCUCGAGGAAGGACAUCACCCACAGAAGAAGCACCGGCUAACUCCGUGCCAGCAGCCGCGGUAAUACGGAGGGUGCGAGCGUUAAUCGGAAUUACUGGGCGUAAAGCGCGCGUAGGUGGUCUGAUAAGCCGGUUGUGAAAGCCCCGGGCUCAACCUGGGAACGGCAUCCGGAACUGUCAGGCUAGAGUGCAGGAGAGGAAGGUAGAAUUCCCGGUGUAGCGGUGAAAUGCGUAGAGAUCGGGAGGAAUACCAGUGGCGAAGGCGGCCUUCUGGACUGACACUGACGCUGAGGUGCGAAAGCGUGGGUAGCAAACAGGAUUAGAUACCCUAGUAGUC
RNAcentral lists this ribosomal RNA (465 nucleotides) under Vreelandella stevensii. RNAcentral's name for it is "partial 16S ribosomal RNA". It matches the Rfam family "Bacterial small subunit ribosomal RNA", at positions 338 to 795 of the family's 1533-position model. The record is from RNAcentral. Lineage: Bacteria; Pseudomonadati; Pseudomonadota; Gammaproteobacteria; Oceanospirillales; Halomonadaceae.